UACGAAGGGUGCAAACGUUGCUCGGAAUCAUUGGGCGUAAAGCGCACGUAGGCGGCUCCGCAAGUCGGAUGUGAAAUCCCUCGGCUCAACCGAGGACGUGCAUCCGAAACUGCAGAGCUUGAGUAUGGAAGAGGGUCGCGGAAUCCCCGGUGUAGAGGUGAAAUUCGUAGAUAUCGGGGGGAACACCAGUGGCGAAGGCGGCGACCUGGGCCAAUACUGACGCUGAGGUGCGAAAGCGUGGGGAGCAAACAGG
This 253-nucleotide ribosomal RNA is filed under the name uncultured bacterium. RNAcentral's name for it is "partial 16S ribosomal RNA". It matches the Rfam family "Bacterial small subunit ribosomal RNA", at positions 524 to 776 of the family's 1533-position model. The record is from RNAcentral.